RNAcentral lists this unclassified non-coding RNA (344 nucleotides) under uncultured Agaricomycetes. RNAcentral describes it as "sequence contains ITS1". The stretch from base 1 to 105 matches the Rfam family "5.8S ribosomal RNA", at positions 50 to 154 of the family's 154-position model. The record is from RNAcentral. Lineage: Eukaryota; Fungi; Basidiomycota; Agaricomycetes.
GAAAUGCGAUAAGUAAUGUGAAUUGCAGAAUUCAGUGAAUCAUCGAAUCUUUGAACGCACCUUGCGCCCCUUGGCAUUCCGAGGGGCACGCCUGUUUGAGUGUCGUGAACUCCUCCACUCCUCACCUUUUUCGAAGGGUUGUUGAGCUGGGACUUGGGAGCUUGCGGGUCCCCUGGCCGAUCCGCUCUCCUUGAAUGCAUUAGCGAAGCCCUUUGCGGCCUUGGUGUGAUAGUCAUCUACGCCUUGGCUUAGCGAACCUAAUGGGAGUCGCUUCCAACCGUCUCGCAAGAGACAACACAUACCAACUUGACCUCAAAUCAGGCGGGACUACCCGCUGAACUUAA